GAAAAAUUAGUUAAUAAAAUAAUAUUAAUUUGUCAAAUUAAAGUAACUUAUGUAUUUUUCU
RNAcentral lists this transfer RNA (61 nucleotides) under Metacrangonyx sp. 3 ssp. 1 MDMBR-2012. RNAcentral's name for it is "transfer RNA Aspartic acid". The record is from RNAcentral. Lineage: Eukaryota; Metazoa; Arthropoda; Malacostraca; Amphipoda; Metacrangonyctidae.